Molecule: ribosomal RNA, 318 nt
Filed under: uncultured bacterium
Lineage: Bacteria
Description: bacterial SSU rRNA
Rfam family: Bacterial small subunit ribosomal RNA
Source: RNAcentral
GACGAACGCUGGCGGCGUGCCUAAUACAUGCAAGUCGAGCGAACCGACGAGGUGCUUGCACCUUUUGACGUUAGCGGCGAACGGGUGAGUAACACGUAAGGAAUCUACCUAUAAGUGGGGGAUAACAUCCGGAAACGGGUGUUAAUACCGCAUAAUAACCCACACCACAUGGUGUAGGUUUGAGGGAAAAGGAGCAAUCCGCUUUGAGAUGGCCUCGCGUCCGAUUAGCUAGUUGGUGAGGUAACGGCCCACCAAGGCGACGAUCGGUAGCCGGACUGAGAGGUUGAACGGCCACAUUGGGACUGAGACACGGCCCAG